CUAAUUCAAGCCAUAUCAUAAAUUAGGUUGAAGCCAUCAUAAUCCAAGCACAUCAUUCAUUCAUGGCAUCUACAUGUCCAAUCCUUUACUUCUAGGUAAUAAUCAUAUUAAGAACAUACAUCCAAUCCAAAUAACAACAAAGAACUAGCUACACAUGAUCAUCCAAGGGGAAGAGAAGAAAAAGAGAAAACCAAACCCAAACUGUCAAGUCGGGAUGUACUUGCUUCAUCCUUCUCUUCAAUCUUCUAUUUUUCAAUCCAAUGCUCAUAGCUUCCUUGACCUUCAAUUUGAUCCUCAAUUGUAUUUUUUAGGGUUCUUAGAGAGGGGGAAAGUUGAGAGAAAAAUCCCACCCAAAAGGGUGUUGAAAGAUGGAAU
Molecule: long non-coding RNA, 375 nt
Filed under: Linum usitatissimum (flax)
Lineage: Eukaryota; Viridiplantae; Streptophyta; Magnoliopsida; Malpighiales; Linaceae
Description: long non-coding RNA (LUSI_LNC002783)
Source: RNAcentral